RNAcentral lists this ribosomal RNA (506 nucleotides) under uncultured bacterium. Its description in RNAcentral is "partial 16S ribosomal RNA". It matches the Rfam family "Bacterial small subunit ribosomal RNA", at positions 29 to 523 of the family's 1533-position model. The record is from RNAcentral.
AGUGAACGCUGGCGGUAGGCCUAACACAUGCAAGUCGAACGGCAGCACAGGAGAGCUUGCUCUCUGGGUGGCGAGUGGCGGACGGGUGAGGAAUACAUCGGAAUCUACUUUUUCGUGGGGGAUAACGUAGGGAAACUUACGCUAAUACCGCAUACGACCUACGGGUGAAAGCAGGGGAUCUUCGGACCUUGCGCGAUUGAAUGAGCCGAUGUCGGGUUAGCUAGUUGGCGGGGUAAAGGCCCACCAAGGCGACGAUCCGUAGCUGGUCUGAGAGGAUCAUCAGCCACACUGGAACUGAGACACGGUCCAGACUCCUACGGGAGGCAGCAGUGGGGAAGAUUGGACAAUGGGCGCAAGCCUGAUCCAGCCAUACCGCGUGGGUGAAGAAGGCCUUCGGGUCGUAAAGCCCUUUUGUUGGGAAAGAAAUCCAGCUGGUUAAUACCCGGUUGGGAUGACGGUACCCAAAGAAUAAGCACCGGCUAACUUCGUGCCAGCCGCCGCAGUAA